This 505-nucleotide ribosomal RNA is filed under the name uncultured Gammaproteobacteria bacterium. Its description in RNAcentral is "bacterial SSU rRNA". It matches the Rfam family "Bacterial small subunit ribosomal RNA", at positions 27 to 529 of the family's 1533-position model. Lineage: Bacteria; Pseudomonadati; Pseudomonadota; Gammaproteobacteria. The record is from RNAcentral.
GAUUGAACGCUGGCGGAAUGCUUUACACAUGCAGGUCGAGCGGCAGCGCGGGGCAACCUGGCGGCGAGCGGCGAACGGGUGAGUAACACAUCGGAACGUACCCUGUUGUGGGGGAUAGCCCGGCGAAAGCCGGAUUAAUACCGCAUAAGACCUGAGGGUGAAAGCGGGGGACCGCAAGGCCUCGCGCGACAGGAGCGGCCGAUGGCGGAUUAGCUAGUUGGUGGGGUAAAGGCUCACCAAGGCGACGAUCCGUAGCUGGUCUGAGAGGAUGAUCAGCCACACUGGAACUGAGACACGGUCCAGACUCCUACGGGAGGCAGCAGUGGGGAAUUUUGGACAAUGGGGGCAACCCUGAUCCAGCCAUUCCGCGUGAGUGAAGAAGGCCUUCGGGUUGUAAAGCUCUUUCGGCAGGAACGAAACGGUGGGCUCUAACAUAGUCUGCUAAUGACGGUACCUGAAGAAGAAGCACCGGCUAACUACGUGCCAGCAGCCGCGGUAAUACGUA